Molecule: long non-coding RNA, 651 nt
Filed under: Coccomyxa subellipsoidea
Lineage: Eukaryota; Viridiplantae; Chlorophyta; Trebouxiophyceae; Coccomyxaceae
Description: long non-coding RNA (CSUB_LNC000329)
Source: RNAcentral
GACAUCUUGUGGAGUUGGUAUCUUUGCUGGCUUUAAGCAUCAUAUCCACGGUGCAAGAGUGGUCAACUGGCCCUGAAAAGGGUGAGUGCUCCGACCAACCCCUUGUUAUCAUUGAUUGGGCUCAAUGCGAAUUGACGCUACCUGUGCAGCGCUCUGACAUCUUCCUGCUCCAACAAUGAGUUCCAUGGGUGAAUGGAAACCGACCAAGUCUGCCGUGAUGCAGGAUAUCGGUACCGCACAAGGCAUGCAGAUUCGGAGGGGCUAGCUGUUGGGGCUCUGGCAGCACCUUGGGCCUUUGCUGGAAUGCUGUUGUCAAGCUUGCGUCACAGGACAGAAUCAGGUCAGCCUGCACAUUUUAUACGAUGCUGUAGACCUCGGCAUGAUCACAGAACCACAGUGCAGGGAAGAGCGCAUACGCCGACAGCACGUUGCACAUUUCGCAGAAACAGUAAAUUUCUACUGUCAACAUAAUUACAAGUCACCUUUCGAUGCCUGGGUGCGCAGGAUUUGCACACUUUGCUGUACGCAGUUCUAUUAUAUCAUCACUGGCCAUGGUGGCAUUUCUGGCCAUCCGCACAGAAGGCAGCAUGCUGCCACCAGAGGAUCAGACAGUCUCACAGGCGCCUAAAAAUGUACCGGCAUCCCCCCUCC